UGCCAGAGAAGCUAGAGUCGAGGGGAUCAUGGCCACCGUCGGGACCUGCAAGGAAAGUCUAAACUAGAGUUGGGGGUGCUCCGGCAAGACCCUCCGACGCUCAAGUCAAUACUCUGCUUCAAUAGAAAUGGAGCACUCGAAUGGGAUUUUAGUAAAGUUUAGAGAUAAUGCUUCCAGCUCCCCCGAGAACAUAUCUGGGGGG
This 202-nucleotide long non-coding RNA is filed under the name Elaeis guineensis (African oil palm). RNAcentral describes it as "long non-coding RNA (EGUI_LNC067520)". The record is from RNAcentral. Lineage: Eukaryota; Viridiplantae; Streptophyta; Magnoliopsida; Arecales; Arecaceae.